CCUACGGGAGGCAGCAGUGGGGAAUCUUGCACAAUGGAGGAAACUCUGAUGCAGCGAUGCCGCGUGAGUGAAGAAGGCCUUUGGGUUGUAAAGCUCUUUUGUAGGGGAAGAUAAUGACUGUACCCUAAGAAUAAGGUCCGGCUAACUUCGUGCCAGCAGCCGCGGUAAUACGAAGGGACCUAGCGUAGUUCGGAAUUACUGGGCGUAAAGCGCGCGUAGGCCGUUGAGUUAGUUAAUUGUGAAAUCCCAAAGCUUAACUUUGGAACUGCAAUUAAAACUGCUCGACUAGAGUUUGAUAGAGGAAAGCGGAAUACAUAGUGUAGAGGUGAAAUUCGUAGAUAUUAUGUAGAACACCAGUUGCGAAGGCGGCUUUCUGGAUCAACACUGACGCUGAGGCGCGAAAGUAUGGGUAGCAAAGAGGAUUAGAUACCCUCGUAGUCCAUACCAUAAACGAUGAUUGCUAGAUGUUGGAAAUUUAUUUUCAGUAUCGCAGCUAACGCAUUAAGCAAUCCGCCUGGGGAGUACGACCGCAAGGUUAAAACUCAAAGGAAAUUGACGG
This 559-nucleotide ribosomal RNA is filed under the name uncultured bacterium. RNAcentral's name for it is "bacterial SSU rRNA". It matches the Rfam family "Bacterial small subunit ribosomal RNA", at positions 338 to 916 of the family's 1533-position model. The record is from RNAcentral.